GUGUAGGAUAGGUGGGAGGCUUUGAAGUGUGGACGCCAGUCUGCAUGGAGCCGACCUUGAAAUACCACCCUUUAAUGUUUGAUGUUCUAACGUGGGCCCCUAAUCGGGGUUGCGGACAGUGUCUGGUGGGUAGUUUGACUGGGGCGGUCUCCUCCUAAAGAGUAACGGAGGAGCACGAAGGUUGGCUAAUCCUGGUCGGACAUCAGGAGGUUAGUGCAAUGGCAUAAGCCAGCUUGACUGCGAGCGUGACGGCGCGAGCAGGUGCGAAAGCAGGUCAUAGUGAUCCGGUGGUUCUGAAUGGAAGGGCCAUCGCUCAACGGAUAAAAGGUACUCCGGGGAUAACAGGCUGAUACCGCCCAAGAGUUCAUAUCGACGGCGGUGUUUGGCACCUCGAUGUCGGCUCAUCACAUCCUGGGGCUGAAGUAGGUCCCAAGGGUAUGGCUGUUCGCCAUUUAAAGUGGUACGCGAGCUGGGUUUAGAACGUCGUGAGACAGUUCGGUCCCUAUCUGCCGUGGGCGCUGGAGAACUGAGGGGGGCUGCUCCUAGUACGAGAGGACCGGAGUGGACGCAUCACUGGUGUUCGGGUUGUCAUGCCAAUGGCACUGCCCGGUAGCUAAAUGCGGAAGAGAUAAGUGCUGAAAGCAUCUAAGCACGAAACUUGCCCCGAGAUGAGUUCUCCCUGAGACUUAGAGUCUCCUGAAGGAACGUUGAAGACGACGACGUUGAUAGGCCGGGUGUGUAAGCGCAGCGAUGCGUUGAGCUAACCGGUACUAAUGAACCGUGAGGCUUAACCUU
RNAcentral lists this ribosomal RNA (795 nucleotides) under Escherichia coli. RNAcentral describes it as "partial 23S ribosomal RNA". It matches the Rfam family "Bacterial large subunit ribosomal RNA", at positions 2136 to 2925 of the family's 2925-position model. The record is from RNAcentral. Lineage: Bacteria; Pseudomonadati; Pseudomonadota; Gammaproteobacteria; Enterobacterales; Enterobacteriaceae.